This 253-nucleotide ribosomal RNA is filed under the name uncultured bacterium. RNAcentral describes it as "partial 16S ribosomal RNA". It matches the Rfam family "Bacterial small subunit ribosomal RNA", at positions 524 to 776 of the family's 1533-position model. The record is from RNAcentral.
UACGGAGGAUGCAAGCGUUAUCCGGAAUCAUUGGGCUUAAAGGGUCCGUAGGCGGUUUUGUAAGUCCGUUGUGAAAGCUGGUCGCUCAACGCUCAAACGGCCAUUGAUACUGUAGAACUUGAAUUACUUGGAAGUAACUAGAAUAUGUAGUGUAGCGGUGAAAUGCUUAGAGAUUACAUGGAAUACCAAUUGCGAAGGCAGGUUACUACAAGUACAUUGACGCUGAUGGACGAAAGCGUGGGGAGCGAACAGG